Molecule: long non-coding RNA, 813 nt
Filed under: Anas zonorhyncha (Eastern spot-billed duck)
Lineage: Eukaryota; Metazoa; Chordata; Aves; Anseriformes; Anatidae
Description: lncRNA (ENSAZOG00000007322.1)
Source: RNAcentral
AUGCACUGGAAAAGAGCAUCCUCUGGAAAAAGAGGAAAAAUCAGAGUCACAGCCUAUCAGACUGGUAGCCUCUCCCCCUUCUCUCCCACCUGCAGUCUCCCAGACAAAUUCGUUUGCUACCUGAGCCCCUCUGCAGUGAGCAACCUGAGCAGAGACGAGGCUUUAAGCUUGGCCCACAGGAUCACCAAGAACUGCCCGUUGAAAGUGACACACAGAGGAAUAAACGGAGAGCGAGCUCCCUCCUUCCUGACAACAGAGGAACUGCAGGUUGCAUCUUCUUUGGUGAGCAAGUUUGAGCGUUUCACUCCUGCAAUCCUGCAUGAAUUGGGCCAGGUUGCUGUUGGGCUGUCUGUAUCCGACAUCGAAAAUAAAAUAAGUGAUGAAGACCUUGAAGCAUCUCUUCCUGCCCUGGGUGAAGUUCGUGGCUGGAAUGCUGACCAGUCCAGUGCUAUUAUCAAUAAACUGCUCCGCUCUGGCUAUCAGAUUUCAGAUGGACAGAGCCUGGCAAAGCUGGGGAGCUUGGUGGCUGGCCUCAGCAGCAGCACGCUUCGAAGUCUCCCUCCAGAAGUGAUCUUGGAAGCCAUUAAGUUGCCUGAGUUUGUCCAGCAGUUGGUGACCCUGCCCUCUGCUCUGAAAAGGACAUUUGUGGAAAUGAUUUCUUCCAGUGUAAGCAACCCUGCUGAGUUGGUUAAACGUAUCCCUGAUGCUCUGGCUAGUUACAUCCCAAAAUCAUUGCUUGUUUUUGAGGAUGAGAAGCCCAGUAUCGAAGAUCUCAACAGAAAAAUGUGGACCCGAGAACAGGUAAAAUGCUAG